This 477-nucleotide long non-coding RNA is filed under the name Homo sapiens (human). RNAcentral's name for it is "non-protein coding lnc-UTRN-2:2". The record is from RNAcentral. Lineage: Eukaryota; Metazoa; Chordata; Mammalia; Primates; Hominidae.
UGGCCCUUGUGUAUUACAUUUGCAUUUCCUGUAUACCUAUCUUGGCUGCUCUAUUCACUACCUUUUUAUACCUAUCCAUUCUUUUUCUCUUUUUUUCUAAAGUUUUGUUCCCUUUGAAGACUCUUGCUCUUAAAACAAGGAGUAUCCAAAUUCAUCACUUAAAAGUCAAUCUUCCUACAGGUUUCAUCAUGGAAUUUUUGAAUCUAUUCUGAUUGCACUAGUUAUCCUUUAGUGAAACUAUUUUUAUUUCACAGACUUAGAGUCUCUCGAACUUGGUAUGCAACUCUGGGCAAAAGCAUUUGAAUGUGUGUUUUUCAUUUUGAUUAAGAAAUGAGAGCACUUUGAAGAUACAUCCAUGAUGCUGGCUACCCGUAAAGAAAAUAAACUGAGUGUCAAUGGAACAGACAGAGAAUCAGAGAACAAAAGAAAGUCAAGAGAUUUACCCAAGGAGAGAAUGGUAGCAGAAACAGACUCGGG